UGGUUCUGGCAUCGAUGAAGAACGCAGCGAAAUGCGAUAAGUAAUGUGAAUUGCAGAAUUCAGUGAAUCAUCGAAUCUUUGAACGCACAUUGCGCCCUUUGGUAUUCCGAAGGGUAUGCCUGUUCGAGCGUCAUUUCAAACCCUCAAGCUCUAUGCUUGGUGUUGGGCUAUCGUCUUUUUGUAAAAAGAGACGUGCCUGAAACUCAUUGGCAGUAGCGUCUAGCUCUUUAGCGUAGUUAUUUAUUCCGCUCUAGUAUUUAGGCACUACCCGCCAGAUGAACCCCCCAAUUUUUUUUUCUAUGGUUUGACCUCGGAUCAGGUAGGGAUACCCGCUGA
RNAcentral lists this unclassified non-coding RNA (336 nucleotides) under uncultured fungus. RNAcentral's name for it is "partial contains 5.8S ribosomal RNA and internal transcribed spacer 2". The stretch from base 1 to 133 matches the Rfam family "5.8S ribosomal RNA", at positions 22 to 154 of the family's 154-position model. The record is from RNAcentral. Lineage: Eukaryota; Fungi.